GACGAACGCUGGCGGCGUGCUUAACACAUGCAAGUCGAACGGAAAGGCCCUGCUUUUGUGGUGUGCUCGAGUGGCGAGCGGGUGAGUAACACGUGAGUAACCUGCCCUUUACUUUGGGAUAACUUCAGGAAACUGGGGCUAAUACCGGAUAGGAGCUCCUGCUGCAUGGUGGGGGUUGGAAAGUUUCGGCGGUUGGGGAUGGACUCGCGGCUUAUCAGCUUGUUGGUGGGGUAGUGGCUUACCAAGGCUUUGACGGGUAGCCGGCCUGAGAGGGUGACCGGCCACAUUGGGACUGAGAUACGGCCCAGACUCCUACGGGAGGCAGCAGUGGGGAAUAUUGCACAAUGGGCGGAAGCCUGAUGCAGCAACGCCGCGUGCGGGAUGACGGCCUUCGGGUUGUAAACCGCUUUCGCCUGUGACGAAGCGUGAGUGACGGUAAUGGGUAAAGAAGCACCGGCUAACUACGUG
RNAcentral lists this ribosomal RNA (468 nucleotides) under uncultured bacterium. RNAcentral describes it as "partial 16S ribosomal RNA". It matches the Rfam family "Bacterial small subunit ribosomal RNA", at positions 28 to 507 of the family's 1533-position model. The record is from RNAcentral.